Long non-coding RNA from Strongylocentrotus purpuratus (purple sea urchin), 1855 nucleotides. RefSeq lists it as uncharacterized. The record is from RefSeq and is a predicted model, not a curated record. NCBI's taxonomy places the organism in Eukaryota, Metazoa, Echinodermata, Echinoidea, Camarodonta, Strongylocentrotidae. The transcript has 3 exons.
GUGGCCUAAACCUGGUUUAAACCAUGGACUAUCUUUUUCGCUAUUCUCGAAGGUGGCCUAAAGAUAAGCCAGGCUUAAAUACGUCAUAGUUCGGCCUAACUUUAGGCCGCUCAGAGGGCAGGUUUAAAUACGUCAUAGUUCGGCCUAACUUCGCGUGACGUCACGUUUUAGUUAAAUCGAGUGUCCGCGGAGAGUGAACGGUAAGUUUUGCAUUUGAAUUUCUAUAUUUGAUAACAAUUUACACUCUUUUGCAUGGAUAAGCGCUCAUGAAAGUUACACCAGCUAAUAAAAUAUUUUUGUUACUUUCAUUUUGCUGUACUGGUGAUAAUCUAAAAUGCUUUUAACUGAAUAAAUUUGGGAGAAACUUGGUUAAUUUUCAUGGUGAUUGCAGACCAGUCCCAUACGUGCAAAUAAUUGUCGGUUAACAUUUUCGUUUCCUGAGAUUGAGCAAUUUCUUACCGGGUAAUUUUUUUCUGGCCACUAUUGUACUUUCGUACGCAUAUACCAUCUUAACACCACCUUAAAAAUAUCAUUGCUAGACGUAGAAACUACUUUUAUAGUUGAUUUUCGAGACGCUGUUGCCUAAAAGUGGACUAGCACUAGGCCUAGGCCUAAAUCUAGAUCUGGCUGUCGCUUUCGUUCGUUAGCCUCUGAUUUGGGUAGGAUCUUUUUCAGGAGCCGACCCUACCCAAAUCAGAGGCUAAUGAACGAAAAAGACGGAAAUUUCGGUCUGGUAACACCUCUGCCUGAGCUGCAGUGCUAGUUGUGGCUGUUGUUGGGAUAAUUUUCUACAGGAUGAUGAUGAUUUUCAUAACCACCCACCCCCCCCCCCCCCCUCCCCAAGAAAUCUAAAUUUCAUCAAUAAGAGUCUAGUCUUGACAGGUCUUAUAGGAAUUGAAAGGAAAUGGACAGAAGCUUCCUUUUUUGACAUAUACAUUUGCUGAUAAUGGUACAGUAGACCUAGCUUACUAUUAGUAAACUACAGAGAAAGAGAAAUUGUAAUUUCUUAUCAAAUAUCAACAUAUUUUUCAUCUUGAUUUUCUGCUAUUUCAGGUUCUUUUCAAUUGAUGCAUGGGGAUGAAAAAAGAAGGCCUCUCCCAAGCUACUGUGACCCGCCUUGUGAAGUCCAUCUCAAUAGCCAUUGCCAGGAGAUCGGAGCAAUACAUCUCAAUUCUUUCAACAAGAGAGGCAGUCCUGCAGAGUGAAGACCCAACAUGAAUUUUAUAAUUACUGCCAUUUCCCUGGCGUAAAUAUGGUUGGUGCUAUUGAUUGCACCCACAUAGGCGUCUCCACGCCAGUUGGCCCAACACCAGUUAUUUCCUGAACAGGAAAAAUAGAUACUCCAUUUUUCUUGGAAAGUCUGCUGGAUGAUGUUCUUCUUCAGUAAAAUAAAUGAAGGCAAAUAACCUGAUGAUUAAGACAAAUUCAGAGAGAGGAAGGGGAACUACUGAGCUGCUGAAUUUCUGAGAGACAUACUUGCGGGGACUAUGAAGUUCUACUUAGCCUAUUCAAUGAACCAAACUCCAUCUGCUGUAACUGUGACUGCAUGGGGAUCAAAACCUUUGUAGUAUAAUCCUCAUAACAUGAAGCUAUGGUAACAAACAAGCAACCAUUGAUAAUAAGCCUGAUAUGUCCUUGUUGUGUGUGUGAACCACAAAGCAACCAUUACUCAUAAGGAUGUUUUUAUGUACAUCAGAUGUUUACUGUUUAACUGGAAAAAUUGUGAUUUUAAGCCAUUUAAGAAAUUAUGUUUUGUAAUGUGUUUUAUAAUAUAGUGCAAGUCAUGAUAUAACAGAUUCCCUGCAAAAGAAACACGGCUCAAAAGUAGACUAUGCUUUGUUUUAAAAAAAUGGGA